Non-coding RNA from Spodoptera litura, 298 nucleotides. The record is from RefSeq and is a predicted model, not a curated record. Lineage: Eukaryota; Metazoa; Arthropoda; Insecta; Lepidoptera; Noctuidae.
CGCUGAAUCCAUGCAACUCUAUGACUGAGCUAUUUGAUGUUCCUAACCAUCUCGGAACAUAGACUUUGGAUAGAUUUUCCAAGUCUUUACGAUGCUGAAGGGAGCUGCACCGUGUACUUGAACUGAUCUGCACUACGACACCAGGAUGCGUCGAACACUACGCGUACCUUCGAUGUGGAUUUAUCUUCUCUGACAACUGCGUGAUGAGGUUUGAAUCCUUCGUGAAUUUUCUCUCCAACGCCUUGAGUCUUCUUACAGCUAUUUCUUUACUGUUACCACCUCCGCAGGUGGGCGUUGC